AGAACAUACUCAAGUGUCUCAGCUCAACAUUUGGAGAUGAGCCAUCCUCCUCUUAUUGUAAGAAAAGCUUGAAGGAGUAUUUUCACAGCGAUGGAACUGGAAGUUAAGGCAACUUCUAUCAGCAUCAAGAAAAGAAAAGAAGUAUUCACCACUUACGAAACAACAUCUCUCUUCUCAUCAAUAGUUUGAUUUACAGCAUCUACUGCAGAAGACCUCAAUAAUGCAUAAGAACAUCUGGAAGUACGGUAAUUUCAGCUAUCAGAGAUAAGAAUUGACACAGAACAGAGGAUCAUAGAAAUUCAUAAACAGAGGAUGAAGAAACACAGAAGACAGAGGAAGGAUUUAGUUUUGGGAACAUGUGCUAAUGGCCAUCAAACAAUUCUGAAAUAACUGAAAGAGAACCUUUGAAACACCCUUUAGAUUAAGAGCCUGGCUUGUAAUCUGUAACAACAAACGGUAUUACAAUGAGAAAAAUAAAUGUCCUGUCAAGGCAUUCCUUCAAUGACAUCUUGUCACACAAGUCUAUAUCCAAGGCUGCCCACAAAGUGGAAAAAUGGGGAAAAUAGAGAAUUCAGCUCACUAUGAUUUCUGCAAUAUACAAUUAUGGGAAAUCAUGUUUGGAUUGACACUGCAGACAGAAAUGGCAUGCAUGAUUCCUGUUUGGACAGGAAUAGCUGUUGGGGAGGAAGCCAACCUUGAAUGACACUGAAGAGCAACAUAAUGAAGCAUGAAUUGACAGGCAUCCUUCACGUUGCUUCUGGCUUCCCGUGUAAAAAGCCAUAUCUGAGCGCAGCUCUUAUGGGGCCAGAUCCAGGGGAGGAGAAAGGAAGUGAGGCCCAGAAAAAAUACAUUGUCAUGGAGGAGUGAAACUGAAGACAAAACAAAAAGGACUUUCCACAACUAGGCCCCUGGCUUACACUGCAAUGGAAGAAGAGGAGCAGAAAUACUGCCAAAGAUCCUUAUGAUGGCAUUGCAUUUUAGACUGCUUUUCAACUGAUUAUGACAGUAUCAACAAAAGAAACUUUCAUUUGAGGGACAUGGAUGGAGCUGGAGGCCAUUAUCCUUAGCAAGGUAACACAAGAACAGAAAACGAAAUACUGCAUGUUCUCACUUAUAAAUGGGAACUAAAUGAUGAGAAUAUAUGGACACAUAGAGGGGAACAACACACACUGAAGCCUUUUAGAGGGUGAAUGGUGGGAAGAGGGAGAGGAUCAGAAAAAAUAACCAAUGGGUACUAGGCUUAAAACUGGGUGAUGGAGGCAGGGCGUGGUGGCUCACGCCUGUAAUCCCAACACUUUGGGAGGCUGAGGCGGGCAGAUCACCAGGUCAGGAGAUGGAGAUCAUCCUGGUGAACACGGUGAAACCCCAUCUCUACUAAAAAUACAAAAAAAUUAGCUGGGCGUGGCGGCCGGCGCCUGUAAUCCCAGCUACUCGGAAGGCUGAGGCAGGAGAAUGGCGAGAACCCGGGAGGCGGAGCUUGCAGUGAGCUGAGAUCGCGCCACUGCACUCCAGACUGGGCGAUAGAGCAAGACUCCCUAUCAAAAACAAAACAAAACAAAACAAAACAAAACAAAACAAAACUGGAUGAUGAAAUAAUCUGCACAGCAAACUCCCACAACACACGUUUACCUAUAUAACAACUUGCAGUUGUACCCCUGAACUUAAAAGAAUAAUCGGCCAGGCGCAGUGGGUCACGCCUGUAAUCCCAGCACUUUGGGAGGCUGAUGUGGGUGGAUCACCUGAAGUAAGGAGUUCGAGACCAGCCUGGCCAACAUGACGAAACCCCGUCUCUACUAAAAAUAACAAAAAUUAUCUGGGCAUGUUGGCACACGUGCCUGUAAUCCCAGCUACUGGGGGACUGAGGCAGGAGGAUCACUUGAACCUGGGAGGAGGAGGUUGCAGCGAGCCGAGAUCGCACCACUGCACUCCAGCCGGUGCAACAGAGUGAGACUUCAUCUCAAAUAAAUAAAUAAAUAAAAGAUUAAUAAACAAAAACAAAAAAACACAAAAAAUUCUAUACCUCAAUUUAUAAAAUUCUAUAACUGUCUAUUAACUACUAAUAAAAAUGUGUGAUAAAGGCUAUUAAUGAUGGGGUUUCCUUUUUUACUCUAUAAGCAUAUUUACCAUCUCAAUAAGUUACAAAUAUCUAAACAUACCCUAUGCCAUUUUAUAAUAAUACUAUGACAUGUAAUGAUUCUUGCCCUGUUCUUUGUGUUGGAAUGUUUUUGUCGGUUUUAAAUGAAGUAUCACUUCCUUUUUGAAGGUUUUUGUAACUCUGUUGAAAGAAUUAGUCACUCUUCCCUUGAAUUUUUAAUGUAACUGGCUCAAAACUUUACGUAUUUAUCAAACUGUAUUUUAAUUAUCCCCUAAUAUGUUUAUCUUGCAAGUCUGUGAUCUCCUUAAGGAUAAAUGACCAGACUUCCUCAUCUUCCUGCCUGACAUGUCAUGAAUGUUUAAUAAUUUGUACUAAGCAUUUAAUAUUAAGCAAAUUAAAAA
Molecule: long non-coding RNA, 2496 nt
Filed under: Homo sapiens (human)
Lineage: Eukaryota; Metazoa; Chordata; Mammalia; Primates; Hominidae
Description: HSALNT0041789
Source: RNAcentral